Streptomyces sp. AA4 is the source of this 394-nucleotide non-coding RNA. The record is from Rfam. NCBI's taxonomy places the organism in Bacteria, Bacillati, Actinomycetota, Actinomycetes, Kitasatosporales, Streptomycetaceae.
CGAGCUGGCAGGACGGUCGCGGCCCGGGUUCUCCCGGUCCGAGGAAAGUCCGGACUCCGCAGGGCAGGGUGGUUGCUAACGGCAACCCGGGGCGACCCGCGGGACAGUGCCACAGAAAACAGACCGCCCCCGUCUCGCGACGGGGGUAAGGGUGAAACGGUGGUGUAAGAGACCACCAGCAUCCCGGGUGACCGGGAUGGCUCGGUAAACCCCACCCGGAGCAAGGCCAAGAGGGAGCAGCGCUCCUGCGCAGGCGAUCGAGGGCGGCCCGCCCGAUGCCUGCGGGUAGGCCGCUGGAGCCUGCCGGCGACGGCAGGCCGAGAUGGAUGACCGUCGCCCGGUCCGCCGCGAGGCGGCCCGGGAACAGGAUCCGGCUUACAUGCCAGCUCGUCCG